GCACCUGUAACUCAAUCGGUGAGAGUGUUCCCCUACGGAGGGAAAUGUACUGGUUCAAGUCCAGUCAGGUGUG
Molecule: transfer RNA, 73 nt
Filed under: Candidatus Tremblayella princeps
Lineage: Bacteria; Pseudomonadati; Pseudomonadota; Betaproteobacteria
Description: Candidatus Tremblaya princeps tRNA-Arg(ACG)
Rfam family: tRNA
About the family: Transfer RNA (tRNA) molecules are approximately 80 nucleotides in length. Their secondary structure includes four short double-helical elements and three loops (D, anti-codon, and T loops).
Source: RNAcentral